RNAcentral lists this ribosomal RNA (568 nucleotides) under uncultured bacterium. RNAcentral's name for it is "partial 16S ribosomal RNA". It matches the Rfam family "Bacterial small subunit ribosomal RNA", at positions 355 to 1375 of the family's 1533-position model. The record is from RNAcentral.
UGGGGAAUAUUGCGCAAUGGGCGAAAGCCUGACGCAGCGACGCUGCGUGAGGGAUGAAGGCCUUCGGGUUGUAAACCUCUUUCAGCAGGGAAGAAGCGAGAGUGACGGUACCUGCAGAAGAAGCACCGGCUAACUACGUGCCAGCAGCCGCGGUAAUACGUAGGGUGCAAGCGUUGUCCGGAAUUAUUGGGCGUAAAGAGCUCGUAGGCGGUUUGUCGCGUCUGCUGUGAAAACUCGGGGCUCAACUCCGAGCUUGCAGUGGGUACGGGCAGACUAGAGUGCGGUAGGGGAGACUGGAAUUCCUGGUGUAGCGGUGAAAUGCGCAGAUAUCAGGAGGAACACCGGUGGCGAAGGCGGGUCUCUGGGCCGUAACUGACGCUGAGGAGCGAAAGCAUGGGGAGCGAACAGGAUUAGAUACCCUGGUAGUCCAUGCCGUAAACGUUGGGCGCUAGGUGUGGGGCUCUUUCCACGAGUUCUGUGCCGCAGCUAACGCAUUAAGCGCCCCGCCUGGGGAGUACGGCCGCAAGGCUAAAACUUAAAGGAAUUGACGGGGUCAUAGCUGUUUCCU